RNAcentral lists this long non-coding RNA (536 nucleotides) under Actinidia chinensis (golden kiwifruit). RNAcentral's name for it is "long non-coding RNA (ACHI_LNC002527)". Lineage: Eukaryota; Viridiplantae; Streptophyta; Magnoliopsida; Ericales; Actinidiaceae. The record is from RNAcentral.
UUUAAAAUAUCGAUAACACCCUUUUGUAAUUGAAAUUAAACAAACGAUUAAUUGAAACGGUACGGAAAGAAAAAAGUCACAGUCGAAAAUCGUGGAAACGUAGAAACGGUAGGAAGGCAACUGACGUCGCAGAAUAGCCCCGUCGGCAAUGAAAUGAAGAAACGGCUCUACGUCUCCUAAACGGUGUUGGCCGAACUGAAUCGACUCACCCAUCUUUGUCUACGUCUCUUAAUCAGUGUUCGAGUUCGCGGGACUGAAUCAUCUCAUCGGCUACGAAUUCAAGAAACGGCACAUGAAUUGCCCAUCAAACCUACAAAUCCAUCUUCGUCAGCAACAGGUUAUAUAACUUAAUUUACUUCUCUGGCAACUCUUGGGAACCUCUUUUUGUUUCUCUGUUUUCUCUCUCUAAAUUGUCAUUUAGAAUUGGGAACCCAAAAAUUGGAGAAAGAACAUAACCCUUUGUUUUCGUUUCUCUAUUUUGGCUCUCUAAAUUCUGGCUUCUCUCUCUGCAUCUCGGAUUGGCAUCUCGGAUUGGG